RNAcentral lists this ribosomal RNA (347 nucleotides) under uncultured bacterium. Its description in RNAcentral is "partial 16S ribosomal RNA". It matches the Rfam family "Bacterial small subunit ribosomal RNA", at positions 338 to 682 of the family's 1533-position model. The record is from RNAcentral.
CCUACGGGAGGCAGCAGUGAGGAAUAUUGGUCAAUGGACGAGAGUCUGAACCAGCCAAGUAGCGUGAAGGAUGAAGGCCCUAUGGGGUGUAAACUUCUUUUAUAGGGGAAUAAAACAGGGUAGGCAUACCCUCUUGUAUGUACCAUAUGAAUAAGGAUCGGCUAACUCCGUGCCAGCAGCCGAGGUAAUACGGAGGAUCCGAGCGUUAUGCGGCUUUAGUGGGUUUAAAGGGAGCGUAGGGGGAUUGUUAAGUCAGUUGUGAAAGUUUGCGGCUCAACCGUCAAAUGGCCGUUGAAACGGGCAGUCUUGCGUACCGUAGAGGUGGGCGGACUUCGUUGUGUCGCUGU